Gossypium arboreum is the source of this 518-nucleotide long non-coding RNA. RefSeq lists it as uncharacterized. The record is from RefSeq and is a predicted model, not a curated record. Lineage: Eukaryota; Viridiplantae; Streptophyta; Magnoliopsida; Malvales; Malvaceae. The transcript is spliced from 2 exons.
AUCGAUCCGGCAAGUUGUCCUCGGCUACAAUUCUGUCUCAUUUUCACUUGUUACAUCUAUGAUGAUAAUAGACUGGAAAUGCUGAAGAAUAUGGAGCACUUUCACAUGCACAGUCAAGUUACGAUUUUCAGCACCACUAGAACCUGGUGGAACAUCCAGCUAGGCGACCGUAUCUCGAUCCGUGGGGUUGCUAUGCUGUGAUGCUAUGGCCAUGGAGAAUAUAGGAACACAAGCAGAAGGCUAAUGCAUUUUCAAUUUGCCAACAUUUUCAACCCCUUCUGCAAGUACCAUCGCCUGAAAUUGCAAGCAGCAGUGAGGAGUGCACUACAAAAUGCUCCGGUCUGGUGCCGCCUUUACUGUCAAAGAUUGUCUGCUUAAAACAUAUCCAUAACUUACAAAAGCUGCAAAAAAAGAAACAAUACAUGUCAUAAAAGUUUAAGAGUUGUUGAUCACUGUAUCUAUGUUGAUAAGCCUAUUUAGUCAAAUCUAAAGAAAAUCCAGAUAAUUCCUUCAAUAUA